AGCUCCUGUCCCUGAAUUUCACAAAGGCAAAGGCACAGUUCAGCCACUGAGAAUCCACGAAGUAAAAUCUAAUGCAGCUGAUUAUGCAACAUUCCACAGGUGACACUGAUAGAACAUCAUCAGGCAAAAGAAGUUUGGCAUCCUCAUACACUAUCAGAUACCAAUGAAAUGAGGAACAAUCAAUUAGUAAACGAAGAGACACGAAACAUGUAGGAAUCAGAACUGCAGUUUCCAGUUUGUACGCCGUUGAUUGUCUUCUAAUGUGGAUUCACCCGGCCUAUUCUAACUAGCAUAACCAAUCCAGAGAUUGAACAUGAUAACGAACCCUCCGAUUAUAAUCCAGUAAAUCAGGGUGUGCAUCUCGUAGAAUUAAUGAAUCACUAUGAUUUAGAGGAUAAGAUAAUGACAACACAGAACCAAAGGAGCAAUUGCUGGUUAAACCCAGAAGGGAAGACCAGCAUGUCAAGCUGUACCUUGCACCGAAUUAUCCCAACCUCAGCAAUUCCCAGCCAAUUUAAACCACCCAACAGAGCAUUUGCACGGAGCUAACCCAAAAAACGUAACUUCGAUUGAAGCAAAGACUGACGUCAACUAAGCUCGUAAUUAAGCUCGUAAUCAAAGUUCAAUGUCCG
RNAcentral lists this long non-coding RNA (632 nucleotides) under Eucalyptus grandis. RNAcentral's name for it is "long non-coding RNA (EGRA_LNC007706)". Lineage: Eukaryota; Viridiplantae; Streptophyta; Magnoliopsida; Myrtales; Myrtaceae. The record is from RNAcentral.